GAUGAAGAACGUAGUAAAAUGCGAUACUUGGUGUGAAUUGCAGAAUCCCGUGAACCAUCGAGUUUUUGAACGCAAGUUGCGCCCGAAGCCUUUUGGCCGAGGGCACGUCUGCCUGGGCGUCACGCAUCGCGUCGCCCCCCACAAUUCUCCGUAAAGGGAACGUGUGUUUUGGGGGCGGAUAUUGGUCUCCCGUGCUCAUGGCGUGGUUGGCCGAAAUAGGAGUCCUUUCGAUGGACGCACGAACUAGUGGUGGUCGUAAAAACCCUCGUCUUUUGUUUCGUGCUGUUGCUCGCAAGGUAAACUCUUUAAAAACCCCAAUGUGUCGUCUCUUGACGACGCUUCGACCGCGACCCCAGGUCAGGCGGGACUACCCGCUGAGUUUAAGCAUAUCAAUAAGCGGAGGA
RNAcentral lists this unclassified non-coding RNA (404 nucleotides) under soil metagenome. RNAcentral's name for it is "partial contains 5.8S ribosomal RNA, internal transcribed spacer 2, and large subunit ribosomal RNA". The stretch from base 1 to 122 matches the Rfam family "5.8S ribosomal RNA", at positions 35 to 154 of the family's 154-position model. The record is from RNAcentral.